Cryptotermes secundus is the source of this 749-nucleotide long non-coding RNA. RefSeq lists it as uncharacterized. NCBI's taxonomy places the organism in Eukaryota, Metazoa, Arthropoda, Insecta, Blattodea, Kalotermitidae. The record is from RefSeq and is a predicted model, not a curated record. The transcript is spliced from 2 exons.
AGCACUUGAAGUGGAUGCUGCCACUGGAGAAGGGAUUUCUACAGGCUCUUCAGGCACUUCAGGCUCUUCAGGCUCUUCAGGCACUUCAGGUUCUUCAGGCUCUUCAGGGUCUUCAGGCUCUGUAAGCUCAUCAUCUGGUGGUGGUAUUAUUGAACGUAUAAGGUCAGGACUCAGCACAUUCGAGUCAUUUAUAAGAGCACUUCCCUUGCCUCCUGAAUUUCAAGCCUUAAUAGAAAGAAUAAUCUCAUCUAUUCGAAGCACUUUAAAUUCCUUUGGUUAACGAAGUCCAGCGUCCUGCAUACGGCUCUUUAAAUAUGACUCCAGCCCAGUAAUUAAUUGAAUGACAUUUUGUGUUCGACGACCACUAGAUCUUUCUGCAUGCCGCAUAAGAAUCUUCAAUUCUACUUCAAGUCUUACCUUAUACUACAUACACACUGAAAGAAUUCAAAUCAGUUAACUGUAAUUGGAAACAUAACUUCAAUUUUGAAUAAAUGGGAAAAGUAUUCUUGUCUUACUGUAUUUCGAAUACGUAAAAAUGUACUGAAUGUCUAUAUUUCCAGUUAAUAAAUUAUAAAUGUCAUACAAUGGUACUACUUACAGAUAAUAACACAUUUUAAUUAUUGUAAUUUUCAUAAACAAGGAUAUCAAUUAUAUAUAUUGUGGUUCAAAAUGUAAGCCUGUAUGCCAUAUAUUAAUAAGCAUUUUAUGCCAGAAAUAUUCAGAACGAAUAAAUAAUUUGAUGAAAGUAA